UACAGAGGGUGCAAGCGUUGUUCGGAAUUAUUGGGCGUAAAGCGCGUGUAGGCGGCGUGACAAGUCGGGUGUGAAAGCCCUCAGCUCAACUGAGGAAGUGCGCCCGAAACUGUCGUGCUUGAGUGCCGGAGAGGGUGGCGGAAUUCCCCAAGUAGAGGUGAAAUUCGUAGAUAUGGGGAGGAACACCCAUGGCGAAGGCAGCAAACUGGGCAUCAUCUGACGCUGAGGCGCGAAAGCGUGGGUAGCAAACAGG
RNAcentral lists this ribosomal RNA (253 nucleotides) under uncultured bacterium. RNAcentral's name for it is "partial 16S ribosomal RNA". It matches the Rfam family "Bacterial small subunit ribosomal RNA", at positions 524 to 776 of the family's 1533-position model. The record is from RNAcentral.